CGAAGCAGCGGCGCCUCCAUCUUUUCCUCACGGUUCUUCGCCGUUUCAAUCGAUCGCCGAAAUCCGAUGGCGUAUACUUUCUCCUCACGCCUCUCUCUUUCCUCCGUCGUCUCCGGUGAAUCAACGCCCACCGUGAUCCCUUUCUCCUCCGCGAAUUAAUUGGUGGAGAGGAGGCGUCGCCUCUCUCCCACGGCGUUGCCCUUGGUGAGCAGUCGUCCCCGGCGGCCGCCUUUCGCUGUUGCUCCAGCGGCGAAGUCACCAAUCGAGGGGAAAGGCGCCUAGAUCGUGGAACUCAGGUUCGUCAUCGCGCCUACGUCGUCAGCCUCGGCGAGUGAAGCCGCUGACCGCCCCGCCUCGCCUCUGCUGCGUCGGCAAUCGCUUCGUCGCCGGACAGCCUAAAGCUAAGUUCUUUAUACAACUUCUUUUAAUUUGUUUGGCAGUAGCUUAUGUUUUGAGAUGAAGUCUUGUACAUGCUAAUGUUGUGGGAAUCUAUGGAGCUCUAUGUUCUCUAAGUUCUUGGCUAAACCAUGUUGUUCUACAAUGAUGCAAGAGGGAUUUGUUGAGGGGGUUACCUCUCGAACUUGUAGCUUGAAUCUCUAGUUUCCAAAAUUCUCAAAGUUUACUCUCUCUUUGAAGCUCCUAUGGGUGUGGGAGUUGUCUGCAAGAACUCUGCAGAAACUCUACUCCAAGCCCUCACUCUCAAACUUGCCAUUGUGGCUGAAAAUUCAAAGUGUAUGAGAAAGGGAGUUCGAAUGUGGUGUGGAGUUAUUUAUAGGCGAAGUGUGGUGUACCCGUGAGGCCUUAAAUGGUUGUUGUACCAUUUGUUGUUAUGCUGCAGCAAAUCUCACUUUUAGAGAUCACAUUGCCUCUCCUUUAUGGCUGCAACUUGGUAUUUUAUGGGUACCUAGUACUAGUUAGUAAUUGGAAUUGUUUGAUUGUGCAGAGAAGCAGGUGGCUGUUGUGCCAAAGGAGCUGCAGGGCUGACUUGCCUCUUAUGGUGAUUCUUUGGUCAUCUAUAACUAAAGAAAAGUUGUCUCCAUCCCUAUGGUCGAGAAAAACUUGGUUGCCAAGCUGCUGUCCGGGACAGCUUGAUACCCCGGCCCAACGGCUGAUCGGAAAACGGCCGCAACUUUCGGCCCGGAAAAAGAGACCCGAUGCCAUUUGUUCCAUACACAUUUAUCUUUCCCUUUCUUUGUUUCCUUUAUUGGAAGCCUUGUUCUAAGUAUUGUAGUAUUUUGAAGAUUAGUUGUUCGUUUAUUGAGUAAGAAUUGCUAUUCGAAAAUUCCUGACAUUCUACAAUGUAAAUUCCAAUUGUUUAGUUCAUUUGAUUUUCACUUCAA
This is a long non-coding RNA of Salvia hispanica, 1340 nucleotides long. RefSeq lists it as uncharacterized. Lineage: Eukaryota; Viridiplantae; Streptophyta; Magnoliopsida; Lamiales; Lamiaceae. The record is from RefSeq and is a predicted model, not a curated record.